AUUGAACGCUGGCGGCAUGCCUUACACAUGCAAGUCGAACGGCAGCGGGGGAGAAGCUUGCUUUUCCUGCCGGCGAGUGGCGAACGGGUGAGUAAUACAUCGGAACGUGCCCUGUAGUGGGGGAUAACUAGUCGAAAGAUUAGCUAAUACCGCAUACGACCUGAGGGUGAAAGUGGGGGACCGCAAGGCCUCAUGCUAUAGGAGCGGCCGAUGUCUGGUUAGCUAGUUGGUGGGGUAAAGGCCUACCAAGGCGACGAUCAGUAGCUGGUCUGAGAGGACGAUCAGCCACACUGGGACUGAGACACGGCCCAGACUCCUACGGGAGGCAGCAGUGGGGAAUUUUGGACAAUGGGCGAAAGCCUGAUCCAGCAAUGCCGCGUGUGUGAAGAAGGCCUUCGGGUUGUAAAGCACUUUUGUCCGGAAAGAAAUGGCUCUGGUUAAUACCUGGGGUCGAUGACGGUACCGGAGGAAUAAGGACCGGCUAACUACGUGCCAGCCGCCGCAGUAA
RNAcentral lists this ribosomal RNA (508 nucleotides) under uncultured bacterium. Its description in RNAcentral is "partial 16S ribosomal RNA". It matches the Rfam family "Bacterial small subunit ribosomal RNA", at positions 30 to 523 of the family's 1533-position model. The record is from RNAcentral.